Molecule: unclassified non-coding RNA, 272 nt
Filed under: rhizosphere metagenome
Description: partial ribosomal RNA internal transcribed spacer region
Source: RNAcentral
GUAGGUGAACCUGCGGAAGGAUCAUUAUCGUACAAAAUGUGAGGAGCAUGCAAGGGCUGUCGCUGACUUCAAAGUCGUGCACGCCCGGGUGUGUCCCCUCACAUAAUAAUCCACCUCACCCUUUGUGCAUCACCGCGUGGGCACCCUUCGGGAUCAUCUCGGAGGGGGCUCGCGUUUUCACACAAACCCCCCCUUUUAAAAGUGUAGAAUGACCUCAUAUAUGCGCUAACCCGCAAUCAAUACAACUUUCAACAACGGAUCUCUUGGCUCUC